RNAcentral lists this ribosomal RNA (468 nucleotides) under uncultured bacterium. Its description in RNAcentral is "partial 16S ribosomal RNA". It matches the Rfam family "Bacterial small subunit ribosomal RNA", at positions 28 to 507 of the family's 1533-position model. The record is from RNAcentral.
GACGAACGCUGGCGGCGUGCUUAACACAUGCAAGUCGAACGGAAAGGCCCUGCUUUUGUGGGGUGCUCGAGUGGCGAACGGGUGAGUAACACGUGAGUAACCUGCCCUUGACUGUGGGAUAACUUCAGGAAACUGGGGCUAAUACCGGAUAGGAGCUCCUGCUGCAUGGUGGGGGUUGGAAAGUUUCGGCGGUUGGGGAUGGACUCGCGGCUUAUCAGCUUGUUGGUGGGGUAGUGGCUUACCAAGGCUUUGACGGGUAGCCGGCCUGAGGGGGUGACCGGCCACAUUGGGACUGAGAUACGGCCCAGACUCCUACGGGAGGCAGCAGUGGGGAAUAUUGCACAAUGAGCGGAAGCCUGAUGCAGCAGCGCCGCGUGCGGGAGGACGGCCGUCGGGGUGUAAACCGCUUUCGCCUGUGACGAAGCGUGAGUGACGGUAAUGGGUAAAGAAGCACCGGCUAACUACGUG